AGUGGAAUGCAUGCCAUGUGAAAGUGUGAGUUUAUGUGAAGUGAAAAAAUGAUAAAAGUAAUAAGAUAAGAGUGAAGGUGUGCAAAUGUAGAUGAAAGUACUCGUGUGCGAGUGAAGAUAAAAGUGUUCGUGUGCAAGUGAAAGUGAUAAAAGGGUGCAUGUGUGCAAAUGAGACAAAAGUGAAAGUGUAAUGAUAGAGUGGAUUGAGAAUGCAUGAGCCUAGGGAAUUCAUGCAUAUUGGGUACGGGGAAACCUAAAUCGUGACUUGAUUUUCCCUUUGAUUAGAAGGCGAAACUAGCGUGCUAAGGCUAUCGAGUAGCCACACUCGCUCGUUUCCCUUAUCGGAAGGGGAC
This 353-nucleotide long non-coding RNA is filed under the name Coffea arabica (coffee). RNAcentral describes it as "long non-coding RNA (CARA_LNC007697)". The record is from RNAcentral. Lineage: Eukaryota; Viridiplantae; Streptophyta; Magnoliopsida; Gentianales; Rubiaceae.